This 860-nucleotide ribosomal RNA is filed under the name uncultured organism. Its description in RNAcentral is "bacterial SSU rRNA". It matches the Rfam family "Bacterial small subunit ribosomal RNA", at positions 527 to 1382 of the family's 1533-position model. The record is from RNAcentral.
GAACUGUGCAAACGUUAUUCGGAAUCACUGGGCUUAAAGGGUGCGUAGGCGGGUUGGUAGGUCAGAUGUGAAAGCCCACGGCUCAACCGUGGAAUUGCGUUUGAAACCACUAGUCUUGAGGGGAUCAGAGGAGAGCGGAACUGAUGGUGGAGCGGUGAAAUGCGUUGAUAUUAUCAGGAACACCGGUGGCGAAAGCGGCUCUCUGGGAUCUUUCUGACGCUGAGGCACGAAAGCUAGGGGAGCGAACGGGAUUAGAUACCCCGGUAGUCCUAGCUGUAAACGAUCUGUACUAGUCCGUGGGGACUCCCACAUCUUCUCGGACGUAGCGAAAGUGUUAAGUACAGCGCCUGGGGAGUAUGGUCGCAAGGCUGAAACUCAAAGGAAUUGACGGGGGCUCACACAAGCGGUGGAGGAUGUGGCUUAAUUCGAGGCUACGCGAAGAACCUUACCUAGGCUUAACAUGUUUGAGAACGCCUGUGAAAGCAGGAAGUGCCCUUCGGGGAGCUCUUACGUAGGUGCUGCAUGGCUGUCGUCAGCUCGUGUCGUGAGAUGUCGGGUUAAGUCCCUUAACGAGCGAAACCCUUGUCUUCAGUUGCCAGCGAGUAAUGUCGGGGACUCUGGAGAGACUGCCGGUGUUAAACCGGAGGAAGGUGGGGAUGACGUCAAGUCCUCAUGGCCUUUAUGCCUAGGGCUGCACACGUCCUACAAUGCAACGUACAAAGCGACGCGAAAUCGCGAGAUCAAGCAAACCGCACAAAUCGUUGCUCAGUUCGGAUUGCAGGCUGAAAUUCGCCUGCAUGAAGCCGGAAUCGCUAGUAAUCGUAGGUCAGCAUACUACGGUGAAUGUGUUCCUGAGCCUU